UCAAGAAACUUCCACAAUGGGCGAAAGCCUGAUGGAGCGACGUCGCGUGAUGGACGAAGUGCUUCGGCACGUAAACAUCUUUUAUGUGGGAUGAAAUUAUUGACAGUACCACAUGAAUAAGGGGCUCCUAACUCUGUGCCAGCAGGAGCGGUAAUACAGAGGCCCCAAGCGUUAUCCGGAAUCACUGGGCGUAAAGGGUGUCGAGGCGGUUGUAUUAGUCGUUCGUAAAAUCUACGAGCUUAACUUGUAGGCGGCGAACGAAACGGUACGACUUGAGGUUUGGAGAGGUGCGUGGAACUCACGGUGUAGGGGUGAAAUCCGUUGAUAUCGUGGGGAACACCAAAGGCGAAGGCAGCGCACUGGCCAAAAUCUGACGCUCACACACGAAAGCUAGGGUAGCGAAGAGGAUUAGAUACCCGGUAGUCCCUGAGCGGGCUGGCAAGGCGCAU
RNAcentral lists this ribosomal RNA (449 nucleotides) under uncultured bacterium. Its description in RNAcentral is "bacterial SSU rRNA". It matches the Rfam family "Bacterial small subunit ribosomal RNA", at positions 355 to 825 of the family's 1533-position model. The record is from RNAcentral.